Molecule: long non-coding RNA, 911 nt
Organism: Rhododendron vialii
Lineage: Eukaryota; Viridiplantae; Streptophyta; Magnoliopsida; Ericales; Ericaceae
Exons: 2
Source: RefSeq, a predicted model, not a curated record
CGUGCGCAUGGUACGUCGUGGAAGUUACGGGCCUCAAAUUUGAUCAGUACAUGUCCAGCCACAACUCUGUCUUAACCUGUUUUCUGUAUUGUGCCCAAAGAAAAUGACAUACCAAGUAUACCUUCUUGCACAAAAUGUAAGGACAUCUAGUCCUCCUCCAUGUGGUAGAAAAUGGAUUAAUGGACCGAAAGAGGUUGAACUAGUAGCUAAGCUUAGGCAGAUAGGAUUAUCAGAUCAGAUUACCAGCUAAUUACGGCCUUACGAAGCUUCUUAAUUAAUGCUACACAAGCAGGUUACAUACGUAACAAAUUAAAGUGAAUGAGUUGUUAAGCAUCACCCUAAUUCAAGAACUUAGAAAGACAUUUUUCCAAUUGUAAAGAACUACAUUCUGUAUCUAUACUUGAAGAGAGUAAAAAAGACAAGAAAUCAGGCCUAGAGAGAGAGAGAGAGAGAGAAAAGACGGUUUUACAUCCACGAUUCAGGAAACUCGAGUUUGAGGAAACUCAAGUUCAAACUUGAGGGCAAAUAGCAUUUGUCAUCGCUCGACACAAAACUAAUCAAGUUGCAAGUCUAUUUUCCCUUGUUUACAAAAUAAUGUGGUGCAAUCCAGAUAAAACAACAAAAAAUGUAUAAAUAAAGUACUUAACAGUUGCAAGAGCCAACAUCUCUUGCACUAAUAGAAAACAAGAGACUAACACUUCGCAUAAAGAUGUUGCAAAAACUCCUUAGGAAAAAGAAGGAAAUGGGAUGAUAAAAACUUCACUAUGUUAUAUCAACUGUUCGAAAGUUUUCUAAAGCACUCAAUCCCUAUCUCUAUAGAAUCACUCUCGCCAUUCUUCCCGGACACAUGUAUGUAAAGGUUAGCACUUUGUAUCUAUACAGAACGCAAAAUCCCAAGUAAACCACGAAAA